This is a non-coding RNA of Camelina sativa (false flax), 269 nucleotides long. The record is from RefSeq and is a predicted model, not a curated record. Lineage: Eukaryota; Viridiplantae; Streptophyta; Magnoliopsida; Brassicales; Brassicaceae.
CUCUUAUUUGUAGGGAUUCGAAGAAUCUGAAUCUAAUAGAUUGGUUAACGAAGAAGUUGCUCCAGAAAUACAUUGUUCCCGAGAAAGAAGUCGAGCUGCUUGGCAGAUUAUUCAAGAUUAUUUGACUCCGUUUGUGGAACGGGAAAGAUAUCAAAUUCCAAAGACAUGUAGGCUACAUCCUGAUAAUGAUUUAUACAGAGAUCAGGAACUGCACAAGAUUCAUGUCGAUAUCUUCGAAUGGAAAUGUGGUUACUGCAAGAAAAGUUUCA